AUAAAGGCAUGAUGGGAGCCAUUGGUUUCCAAUCUUGAGUUUGGCUCGUGAGCAAAGAGAAGAGAAGAGGAAAUUGUAUUUUGAAUUCAACGUGUCCACUGCUAUAUUCAUUUGUUCCUGAAUUACAACUAUUAUUACUACGUCACACAACACAACAACAUUGAUUAAUUGAUUGUUUUAUUGUUUUGUUCAUCAUGUGGUCUGGCGACGCAAUGACUUAUAGCCAAUUAGAGUUUAUGGUCUCUUUCAUUCACUCCUCCUUUGCUUUUUUACUUUGACUCUCUUUG
This 287-nucleotide long non-coding RNA is filed under the name Vigna radiata. Its description in RNAcentral is "long non-coding RNA (VRAD_LNC010719)". Lineage: Eukaryota; Viridiplantae; Streptophyta; Magnoliopsida; Fabales; Fabaceae. The record is from RNAcentral.